RNAcentral lists this ribosomal RNA (241 nucleotides) under uncultured Alphaproteobacteria bacterium. RNAcentral describes it as "partial 16S ribosomal RNA". It matches the Rfam family "Bacterial small subunit ribosomal RNA", at positions 1082 to 1325 of the family's 1533-position model. Lineage: Bacteria; Pseudomonadati; Pseudomonadota; Alphaproteobacteria. The record is from RNAcentral.
AAGUCCCGCAACGAGCGCAACCCUCGCCAUUAGUUGCCAGCAUUAAGUUGGCCACUUUAGUGGGACUGCCGGAGUUAAUCCGGAGGAAGGCGGGGAUGACGUCAAGUCCUCAUGGCCCUUACGGGGUGGGCUACACACGUGCUACAAUGGCGAUUACAGAGGGUUGCAACCCAGCGAGGGUGAGCUAAUCCCUAAAAGUCGUCUCAGUUCGGAUUGCACUCUGCAACUCGAGUGCAUGAAG